This 375-nucleotide ribosomal RNA is filed under the name uncultured bacterium. Its description in RNAcentral is "bacterial SSU rRNA". It matches the Rfam family "Bacterial small subunit ribosomal RNA", at positions 28 to 408 of the family's 1533-position model. The record is from RNAcentral.
GACGAACGCUGGCGGCGUGCAUAACACAUGCAAGUCAAGGGGGUCAGUAGCAAUACUGGCAACCGGCGAACGGGUGCGUAACACGUAAGCGACCUACCUCAAUGUGGGGCAUAGCCGGCCUAACGGCCGGGUAAUUCCGCAUGUGAUCUUGGAGGGGCAUCUCUCCGGGAUGAAACCAGUAAUGGGCAUUGAGAGGGGCUUGCGGCCUAUCAGCUUGUUGGUGAGGUAACGGCUCACCAAGGCUACGACGGGUAGCUGGUCUGAGAGGAUGGCCAGCCACAUUGGGACUGAGAACGGCCAGACCCCUACGGGAGGCAGCAGUGGGGAAUCUUGCGCAAUGGUCUAACGACUGACGCAGCGACGCCGCGUGAGGGA